GAGGGAUGCUACCGGGCGACCGGAUGCGGAUCUCGAAAGCCUGUCCCAGUUCGGACUGGAGUCUGCAACCCGACUCCACGAAGUUGGAUUCGCUAGUAAUCGCGCAUCAGCCAUGGCGCGGUGAAUACGUUCCCGGGCCUUGUACACACCGCCCGUCAAGCCAUGGGAGCCGGGGGCGCCUGAAGUCCGGGACCGCGAGGACCGGCCUAGGGCGAAACUGGUAACUGGGGCUAAGUCGUAACAAGGUAGC
Molecule: ribosomal RNA, 250 nt
Filed under: uncultured bacterium
Lineage: Bacteria
Description: partial 16S ribosomal RNA
Rfam family: Bacterial small subunit ribosomal RNA
Source: RNAcentral